CACCGCGGUUAGACGAGAGGCCCUAGUUGAUAAUCUAACGGCGUAAAGGGUGGUUAGGAAUAACAGGUUUUUAGAGCCAAAUGGCCCCUUGGCCGUCAUACGCUUCUAGGUGUCCGAAGCCCUACACACGAAGGUAGCUCUAAUAUUUACCCGACCCCACGAAAGCUAAGAAA
Molecule: ribosomal RNA, 173 nt
Filed under: Pethia conchonius (rosy barb)
Lineage: Eukaryota; Metazoa; Chordata; Actinopteri; Cypriniformes; Cyprinidae
Description: partial 12S rRNA
Source: RNAcentral